Molecule: ribosomal RNA, 515 nt
Filed under: uncultured bacterium
Lineage: Bacteria
Description: partial 16S ribosomal RNA
Rfam family: Bacterial small subunit ribosomal RNA
Source: RNAcentral
GAUGAACGCUGGCGGCGUGCCUAAUACAUGCAAGUCGAGCGAAUGGAUUAAGAGCUUGCUCUUAUGAAGUUAGCGGCGGACGGGUGAGUAACACGUGGGUAACCUGCCCAUAAGACUGGGAUAACUCCGGGAAACCGGGGCUAAUACCGGAUAACAUUUUGAACCGCAUGGUUCGAAAUUGAAAGGCGGCUUCGGCUGUCACUUAUGGAUGGACCCGCGUCGCAUUAGCUAGUUGGUGAGGUAACGGCUCACCAAGGCAACGAUGCGUAGCCGACCUGAUGGGGUGAUCGGCCACACUGGGACUGAGACACGGCCCAGACUCCUACGGGAGGCAGCAGUAGGGAAUCUUCCGCAAUGGACGAAAGGCUGACGGAGCAACGCCGCGUGAGUGAUGAAGGCUUUCGGGUCGUAAAACUCUGUUGUUAGGGAAGAACAAGUGCUAGUUGAAUAAGCUGGCACCUUGACGGUACCUAACCAGAAAGCCACGGCUAACUACGUGCCAGCCGCCGCGGUAA